RNAcentral lists this non-coding RNA (119 nucleotides) under bovine gut metagenome. RNAcentral's name for it is "SAM riboswitch (S box leader)". It matches the Rfam family "SAM riboswitch aptamer (S box leader)". From Rfam's summary of the family: The SAM riboswitch is found upstream of a number of genes which code for proteins involved in methionine or cysteine biosynthesis in Gram-positive bacteria. The SAM riboswitch acts at the level of transcription termination control. The predicted structure consists of a complex stem-loop region followed by a single stem loop terminator region. The record is from RNAcentral.
UCUUAUCAAGAGUGACGGAGGGAACAGGCCCUGUGAUGUCCGACAACCUGCUCGCGCGGGCGAGUAAGGUGCCAAAUCCUGCGGCGAGGCGGCGCGGCCGUCCGCAGCCGAGAGAUGAG